This is a long non-coding RNA of Bos taurus (domestic cattle), 1094 nucleotides long. NCBI's taxonomy places the organism in Eukaryota, Metazoa, Chordata, Mammalia, Artiodactyla, Bovidae. The record is from Ensembl.
GGUUGUGCUCUGGUGUGUCCUCAGGCAUCACUCACCCUGGGAUCAUGGGCAGUUUGCCUAACUCUCUGUAUCCAUUUCCUGCUGCUAAGUCUGCUGCUAAGUCGAUUCAGUCGUGUCUGACUCUGUGCGACCCCAGAGACGGCAGCCCACCAGGCUUCCCCGUCCCUGGGAUUCUCCAGGCAAGAACACUGGAGUGGGUUGCCAUUUCCUUCUCCAAGUAUCCAUUUGCUAGGGCUGCUGAAACAAGCGUCACAAACCACGUGGCUUGAAACAACAGAGAUGUCUCACUCAUCUCACCAUUUUGGAGGCUGAAGUCUGAAAUCAAGGUAUUGGCACGGUCAGGCUCCUUCUGAAACCUGGAGGGGAGCAUCUUUCCUUGCCUCUUGCUGGAUUUGGAUGGGUUGCCAGCAGUCCUUGGCUCUCUAAGCUCACAGCUGCAGCCCUUCGAGUUCUGCCUCCAUCUGUUACAUGGUGUUCUCCUCUCCUGUGUCUGUCCCAGGAUCCCUCCUCCUCUGGGAAGGACAGCAGUUGUAUUGGAUUGGGGCCACCCUAAUGACCUCAUCUGAAACUUGAUUACAUCUGCAGAGACCCUAUUUCCAAAUAAGGGCUAAAAAAAGGCAAGAUAAGAAGAGAGAAUGUUCUGUAAUGAGUAAGGGUGGCCGUGCCUCGUGAUGGGUCAGCCAUGCGUGUCUGGAGGAGGACUCUCUUUGAGGCCCAGGAGGUGGGCUGGGGGCGGGGUGUGGAGGACGGCAAGUGGAGGAGGGUAGGGGGAGCGUAAAUGGAGAUGAGAACCACCAACAGUCUCCUGAUGUCUCUGUGCUUCAAAGAGAAAACUGUGUCACAGCCGCAGGAGGGGAAAGCACUGAUCGCAGAGUUGAAAGAGGACAUUUUCCCAGAGCUGUAGACCCACAGUCCUCAGCGUGACUGAUGUACAAAGCUUCAUCUGCCUCCCUCCUGCGUCUCCCCCUCUCCUGCGUCUCCCCACAUGUGACUUAAGGUGGAUGCCAGAUGUGUAAACCAGGGCAGGGCCGUGUCCCAUCUAUUAGAAAUCUCUGACUUGUGGGCACGAAACAGAAACCUCAGCCAAAGGGAAU